UACGUAGGGGGCCAGCGUUGCUCGGAAUUACUGGGCGUAAAGGGUCCGUAGGCGGUGUGGUAAGUCGAUAGUGAAAUCUCUGGGCUUAACUCAGAGGCUGCUAACGAAACUGCCAUGCUCGAGUGUGAGAGAGGCGAGUGGAAUUACGGGUGUAGCGGUGAAAUGCGUAGAUAUCCGUAGGAACAUCCGAGGCGAAAGCGGCUCGCUGGAUCACAACUGACGCUGAGGGACGAAAGCUAGGGGAGCAAACAGG
RNAcentral lists this ribosomal RNA (253 nucleotides) under uncultured Acidobacteriota bacterium. RNAcentral's name for it is "uncultured Acidobacteria bacterium partial 16S ribosomal RNA". It matches the Rfam family "Bacterial small subunit ribosomal RNA", at positions 524 to 776 of the family's 1533-position model. The record is from RNAcentral. Lineage: Bacteria; Pseudomonadati; Acidobacteriota.